Tribolium castaneum (red flour beetle) is the source of this 709-nucleotide long non-coding RNA. RefSeq lists it as uncharacterized. The record is from RefSeq and is a predicted model, not a curated record. NCBI's taxonomy places the organism in Eukaryota, Metazoa, Arthropoda, Insecta, Coleoptera, Tenebrionidae. The transcript has 3 exons.
UAGACUACUUCAUCUACUGCUUUUUGACUCCAUUUUCUUACAAAAAAAAAAUGUUUGUGCCUUUCGAGUUUAUAGAAAAUGACAAUGAUUUGUUAAUUUUUUUCUCGUUUUUCAACAGAAAGCUCAAAAUUUCUAAGGUUAUAAGAGAUCCCAAGACUGAGAUUUUUAAAAUCAAUAGCAAAAUUUACUCAAGACUCGCCCAAAAAUCGUAAAAAUAAAAAAAAAUUGGCGAUAGUUUGCCAGUUCCUAUAAGAUAACAAAUAAAAAAUUGAUUUAUUUUUUAACUAAAUGAUAUUUUCUCCAUAAUCACAAGUAUUUAUUAAUUGAACGUAAUUAAACCUAGGGAGGGAAUGACGCACUUUCCGACCUCUGGAACGCUACGAGCAGUUUUAUUACUAUAAUGAUUGUCUAUAAAGAUUAUUUUAGGUUGAAUUUAUCAUUUUUUACCACUUUUCGUGAAUUAAUUAAAAUUGAUGAAUAUUUAUUUACUAGAUAGGUAUAUAAGAAGGAACAUUUUUACCUCUUCUCGGUCAGAAAUAUGGCAAAAUUGUUACUGGUGGUAUUUGUAAUGACCGCUUUCAUGGCAUACUUAGCACAUGCUCUCCCACAGCAAGGACAAAAGGACGAUUUCAGGUUUGAACCUUACUGAUUUUCUGAAAAAUUGCUGAAACUGAAAAAAAUCUAAUAAAACUUUAUUAAACAAAAAAAA